Long non-coding RNA from Suricata suricatta (meerkat), 248 nucleotides. RefSeq lists it as uncharacterized. The record is from RefSeq and is a predicted model, not a curated record. The transcript is spliced from 2 exons. NCBI's taxonomy places the organism in Eukaryota, Metazoa, Chordata, Mammalia, Carnivora, Herpestidae.
GAAUUCUCUUAUUCAAAUUAUCAGUAUAACAGUUUUGAUAACUGUUAAGAAUGAAGAGGAUGCAGCUGAUAACAAAGUAUGCAUAUAUGAGAAAAUCCCUAUUAACUCUUUGGGGAGAAAGCCCCACAGCAAGAGGACCGAUGAAUAGAGCAAACUGGUCAUACCACUGUUUCUGACUCUCCUACAGGAAAACUGCUGGAGAAGAAUGAAGGUUGUUUCUAUAAAUACCACCAAAGAAGACAGUUAAA